CUAAUGUCUCACUGAGUGUGAACUAUCUAAUCACACCACAUUUAAAAAUAAGCUGAUUCAAAGCCUCUGACUUUGAAGUAUACAUCUCUUUGAAAAGAGGAUAAAUAUAUCAAAAUGUUGGCUCUUUUGCAGAAAUAACUUUGAGCCAAAAGAACUUCAUCCCAAUUACUUGAAUGCAGCCUACAUUGAUGAUUCCCUCAAGGCCAGUGAUAAGCCUAUGAAGCAACCCUCUGCUAAUAUCAGUUUUCAUUUGUUAGGGAUAGACGACAGAGUGACUUCACUGUUUUCCAUGGACUAA
This 298-nucleotide long non-coding RNA is filed under the name Mus spicilegus (steppe mouse). RNAcentral describes it as "lncRNA (ENSMSIG00000019674.1)". The record is from RNAcentral. Lineage: Eukaryota; Metazoa; Chordata; Mammalia; Rodentia; Muridae.